Molecule: long non-coding RNA, 412 nt
Organism: Hippocampus comes (tiger tail seahorse)
Lineage: Eukaryota; Metazoa; Chordata; Actinopteri; Syngnathiformes; Syngnathidae
Exons: 3
Source: RefSeq, a predicted model, not a curated record
CAAGAAUACUUUGGUAGCGGGUUGCUGAAGAAACUGGGCUGUCGCAGCUUUUUUUGCAGAACGUGGGCGUUUUGGCCGUGGCCGCCUCCAUCAUCCCUCUCCUCCUGGUCACCGUCGCCCCGCUGCUGUUCCUCUUCCUGUACCUGCGCCGUUACUACCUCUGCACGUCACGCGACAUCAAACGUCUGGAGUCCACGGCACGCAGUCCCGUCUUCUCCCAUCUUUCGUCGUCCCUCCAGGGUCUGUGCACCAUCCGAGCCUUCGGAGGAGAGGAGAGACUAACCAAAGCCUUUGACUCGCACCAGGACCGACAUUCAGAGGCCUGGUUUCUCUUCCUGAUGACCUCCCGCUGGUUUGCCCUCCGUCUGGACAGCAUUUGCUCCGUCUUCAUCACCGUAGCGACAUUUGGGUG